GUUUGAUGUUCUAACGUUGACCCGUGAUCCGGGUUGCGGACAGUGUCUGGUGGGUAGUUUGACUGGGGCGGUCUCCUCCUAAAGAGUAACGGAGGAGCACGAAGGUUGGCUAAUCCUGGUCGGACAUCAGGAGGUUAGUGCAAUGGCAUAAGCCAGCUUGACUGCGAGCGUGACGGCGCGAGCAGGUGCGAAAGCAGGUCAUAGUGAUCCGGUGGUUCUGAAUGGAAGGGCCAUCGCUCAACGGAUAAAAGGUACUCCGGGGAUAACAGGCUGAUACCGCCCAAGAGUUCAUAUCGACGGCGGUGUUUGGCACCUCGAUGUCGGCUCAUCACAUCCUGGGGCUGAAGUAGGUCCCAAGGGUAUGGCUGUUCGCCAUUUAAAGUGGUACGCGAGCUGGGUUUAGAACGUCGUGAGACAGUUCGGUC
Molecule: ribosomal RNA, 425 nt
Filed under: Escherichia coli
Lineage: Bacteria; Pseudomonadati; Pseudomonadota; Gammaproteobacteria; Enterobacterales; Enterobacteriaceae
Description: partial 23S ribosomal RNA
Rfam family: Bacterial large subunit ribosomal RNA
Source: RNAcentral